AAAGGAACGCUGGUUCAGCCAGCACCCUCCAACCCAUUGCGUACCCACCUUGUUGCCUCGGCGUGCCUGCGCCCUCGAUGGCGCUGCCGGCUCAGGCUGGACGGCGCACGCCAGAGGAAUCGUAAACUCCAGCUUAACAAAUGGCGUCUGAGUCUAAUCAAAUACGUUA
RNAcentral lists this unclassified non-coding RNA (169 nucleotides) under uncultured fungus. RNAcentral's name for it is "sequence contains ITS1". The record is from RNAcentral. Lineage: Eukaryota; Fungi.